RNAcentral lists this ribosomal RNA (424 nucleotides) under uncultured Diversisporaceae. RNAcentral's name for it is "SSU rRNA". It matches the Rfam family "Eukaryotic small subunit ribosomal RNA", at positions 459 to 886 of the family's 1831-position model. The record is from RNAcentral. Lineage: Eukaryota; Fungi; Glomeromycota; Glomeromycetes; Diversisporales.
GGGAGGUAGUGACAAUAAAUAACAAUACGGGGCUCAUUCGGGUCUCGUAAUUGGAAUGAGUACAAUUUAAAUCCCUUAACGAGGAACAAUUGGAGGGCAAGUCUGGUGCCAGCAGCCGCGGUAAUUCCAGCUCCAAUAGCGUAUAUUAAAGUUGUUGCAGUUAAAAAGCUCGUAGUUGAACUUCGGAAUUUGUUCAUUGGUCAGGCUUAACUGUCUGCACUGGUGUGACGAAUUUCUAUCUUCUGAGGAAUCUUCAUGUCAUUAAUUUGGUGUGGGGGGGAAUCCGGACUGUUACUUUGAAAAAUUAGAGUGUUUAAAGCAGGCUAACGUCUGAAUACAUUAGCAUGGAAUAAUGAAAUAGGACGGUUUGGUUCUAUUUUGUUGGUUUCUAGGAUCACCGUAAUGAUUAAUAGGGAUAGUUGGG